GUGGGGAAUCUUGCGCAAUGGGCGAAAGCCUGACGCAGCCAUGCCGCGUGAAUGAUGAAGGUCUUAGGAUUGUAAAAUUCUUUCACCGGGGACGAUAAUGACGGUACCCGGAGAAGAAGCCCCGGCUAACUUCGUGCCAGCAGCCGCGGUAAUACGAAGGGGGCUAGCGUUGCUCGGAAUUACUGGGCGUAAAGGGCGCGUAGGCGGACAGUUUAGUCAGAGGUGAAAGCCCAGGGCUCAACCUUGGAAUUGCCUUUGAUACUGGCUGUCUUGAGUACGGGAGAAGUGAGUGGAACUCCGAGUGUAGAGGUGAAAUUCGUAGAUAUUCGGAAGAACACCAGUGGCGAAGGCGACUCACUGGCCCGUUACUGACGCUGAGGCGCGAAAGCGUGGGGAGCAAACAGGAUUAGAAACCCGUGUAGUCC
RNAcentral lists this ribosomal RNA (425 nucleotides) under uncultured bacterium. RNAcentral's name for it is "partial 16S ribosomal RNA". It matches the Rfam family "Bacterial small subunit ribosomal RNA", at positions 354 to 796 of the family's 1533-position model. The record is from RNAcentral.